Molecule: ribosomal RNA, 292 nt
Filed under: uncultured bacterium
Lineage: Bacteria
Description: partial 16S ribosomal RNA
Rfam family: Bacterial small subunit ribosomal RNA
Source: RNAcentral
GUGUCAGCAGCCGCGGUAAUACGGAGGAUGCAAGCGUUAUCCGGAAUCAUUGGGCGUAAAGCGUCCGCAGGUGGCUCUUCAAGUCUGCCGUCAAAACUCAGGGCUUAACCCUGAACAGGCGGUGGAAACUGAAAAGCUAGAGUGCGGUAGGGGUAGAGGGAAUUCCCGGUGUAGCGGUGAAAUGCGUAGAGAUCGGGAAGAACACCAGUGGCGAAAGCGCUCUGCUGGACCUGCACUGACACUGAGGGACGAAAGCUAGGGGAGCGAAUGGGAUUAGAAACCCCAGUAGUCC